Molecule: ribosomal RNA, 425 nt
Filed under: uncultured bacterium
Lineage: Bacteria
Description: bacterial SSU rRNA
Rfam family: Bacterial small subunit ribosomal RNA
Source: RNAcentral
GGGGAAUUUUGGACAAUGGGGGAAACCCUGAUCCAGCCAUGCCGCGUGCAGGAUGAAGGCCUUCGGGUUGUAAACUGCUUUUGUACGGAACGAAAAGGUCCUUUCUAAUAAAGAGGGCUCAUGACGGUACCGUAAGAAUAAGCACCGGCUAACUACGUGCCAGCAGCCGCGGUAAUACGUAGGGUGCGAGCGUUAAUCGGAAUUACUGGGCGUAAAGCGUGCGCAGGCGGUUAUAUAAGACAGAUGUGAAAUCCCCGGGCUCAACCUGGGAACUGCAUUAGUGACUGUAUAGCUGGAGUGCGGCAGAGGGGGAUGGAAUUCCGCGUGUAGCAGUGAAAUGCGUAGAUAUGCGGAGGAACACCGAUGGCGAAGGCAAUCCCCUGGGCCUGCACUGACGCUCAUGCACGAAAGCGUGGGGAGCAAAC